CUACGGGGUGCUCCAGUGGGGAAUAUUGCACAAUGGGCGCAAGCCUGAUGCAGCCAUGCCGCGUGUAUGAAGAAGGCCUUCGGGUUGUAAAGUACUUUCAGCGGGGAGGAAGGGAGUAAAGUUAAUACCUUUGCUCAUUGACGUUACCCGCAGAAGAAGCACCGGCUAACUCCGUGCCAGCAGCCGCGGUAAUACGGAGGGUGCAAGCGUUAAUCGGAAUUACUGGGCGUAAAGCGCACGCAGGCGGUUUGUUAAGUCAGAUGUGAAAUCCCCGGGCUCAACCUGGGAACUGCAGCUGAUACCGGCAAGCUUGAGUCUCGUAGAGGGGGGUAGAAUUCCAGGUGUAGCGGUGAAAUGCGUAGAGAUCUGGAGAAAUACCGGUGGCGAAGGCGGCCCCCUGGACGAAGACUGACGCUCAGGUGCGAAAGCGUGGGGAGCAAACAGGAUUAGAUACCCUAGUAGUC
This 464-nucleotide ribosomal RNA is filed under the name uncultured bacterium. RNAcentral's name for it is "partial 16S ribosomal RNA". It matches the Rfam family "Bacterial small subunit ribosomal RNA", at positions 339 to 795 of the family's 1533-position model. The record is from RNAcentral.